Molecule: long non-coding RNA, 532 nt
Filed under: Mus musculus (house mouse)
Lineage: Eukaryota; Metazoa; Chordata; Mammalia; Rodentia; Muridae
Description: long non-coding RNA chr1:194732706-194733238
Source: RNAcentral
CAGUGCCAGAAAUAUAGUCUCUCAUUUAGUCCUGAUACUAGCUCUUGCUCCUCUUAGAGAACUGUGUUCAAUUUGUCCCAGCAAGGGAUGGGGUCUAUCUCUGACAUUAUAGAUGUCAAUCAUCACCAGGACCUUUUAGCCUUCCCAGCUCCUUCUCCUGCUCCAAAAUUGAGCACCCAGCAGUCACUACAUGGCAGUACUGAUGCUCUAGCCUCUCAUAAUGCAUCACCCGUGGUGCGUGGCCAGACCAAACCCGAUUACACUCCAGUGGUUAAAAGUCCAGGUCUAAUUAGAGUUCCAGGGAAUCAAGCCAUUGUAUUAUUAAUGAUUCUCUGGCAAUGUUCUGAUUAAAACAGCAAUUUUAAUAAGCACAGCUCAAUGCUAAGUGUUCACUGAGCUCCUAAUUACAUCAGUUAUGACUCCAAAAUUAUUUAAAAUUCUAUUUUUUUUCCAACUAGACAUGGCAUGCACCAGUAAAGUACUCAGGUGAUUUGGUGAUUAUUUUCUGUAAUUAAUUUCCUAAGUACUUAGU